AGCAGUAGCCGCGGUAAUACGUAGGGGGCAAGCGUUGUCCGGAAUUAUUGGGCGUAAAGCGCGCGCAGGCUGUCAUGUAAGUCUGGUGUUUAAUCCCGGGGCUCAACCCCGGAUCGCACUGGAAACUGCGUGACUUGAGUGCAGAAGAGGAGAGUGGAAUUCCACGUGUAGCGGUGAAAUGCGUAGAGAUGUGGAGGAACACCAGUGGCGAAGGCGACUCUCUGGGCUGUAACUGACGCUGAGGCGCGAAAGCGUGGGGAGCAAACAGGAUUAGAUACCCCCGUAGUCCCUGUCUCUUAUACA
RNAcentral lists this ribosomal RNA (303 nucleotides) under uncultured bacterium. RNAcentral describes it as "partial 16S ribosomal RNA". It matches the Rfam family "Bacterial small subunit ribosomal RNA", at positions 507 to 808 of the family's 1533-position model. The record is from RNAcentral.